This 460-nucleotide ribosomal RNA is filed under the name uncultured bacterium. Its description in RNAcentral is "partial 16S ribosomal RNA". It matches the Rfam family "Bacterial small subunit ribosomal RNA", at positions 338 to 795 of the family's 1533-position model. The record is from RNAcentral.
CCUACGGGUGGCAGCAGUGAGGAAUAUUGGUCAAUGGGCGCGAGCCUGAACCAGCCAAGUAGCGUGAAGGAUGAAUGCCCUACGGGUUGUAAACUUCUUUUAUAAAGGAAUAAAGUGAGGCACGUGUGCCUUUUUGUAUGUACUUUAUGAAUAAGGAUCGGCUAACUCCGUGCCAGCAGCCGCGGUAAUACGGAGGAUCCGAGCGUUAUCCGGAUUUAUUGGGUUUAAAGGGAGCGUAGAUGGGUUGUUAAGUCAGUUGUGAAAGUUUGCGGCUCAACCGUAAAAUUGCAAUUGAUACUGGCAGUCUUGAGUGCAGGUGAGGUAGGUGGAAUUCGUGGUGUAGCGGUGAAAUGCGUAGAUAUCACGAGGAACACCGAUUGCGAAGGCAGCUUACUGAACUGCAACUGACGCUGAUGCUCGAAAGUGUGGGUAUCAAACAGGAUUAGAUACCCGGGUAGUC